This 468-nucleotide ribosomal RNA is filed under the name uncultured bacterium. RNAcentral describes it as "bacterial SSU rRNA". It matches the Rfam family "Bacterial small subunit ribosomal RNA", at positions 28 to 421 of the family's 1533-position model. The record is from RNAcentral.
GAUGAAUGCUGGCGGCGUGCCUAAUACAUGCAAGUCGAACGGUAAGGCUUUCACAGAUUAUUUGAACGGAAAAGUCCAUUUUAAUGGAUACUAGCCUUCAACUCUCGUUUCCCGGCUGGGAAGCAAUAGAGGUCGAAUAAUGCGUGAAAGUACACGAGUGGCGGACGGCUGAGUAACACGUAGGAACGUACCCCAAAGUGAGGAAUAAGCACCGGAAACGGUGUCUAAUACCGCAUGUGAUCUAAGGAUUAAAGUCUUCGGACGCUUUGGGAGCGGCCUGCGCAUGAUUAGUUUGUUGGUGAGGUAAUGGCUCACCAAGACUACGAUCAUUAGCUGGUCUGAGAGGAUGAUCAGCCAGACUGGAACUGAGACACGGUCCAGAUUCCUACGGGAGGCAGCAGUAGGGAAUUUUCCACAAUGGACGAAAGUCUGAUGGAGCAACGCCGCGUGCAGGAUGAAGGCUUUCGG